AUAGCGUAUAUUAAAGUUGUUGUGGUUAAAAAGCUCGUAGUUGAACCUUGGGCCUGGCUGGCCGGUCCCCCUCACCGGGUGCACUGAUCCAGCCGGGUCUUUCCCGCUGUGGAACCCCAUGGCCUUCACUGGUCGUGGCGGGGAAACAGGACUUUUACUUUGAAAAAAUUAGAGUGUUCCAAGCAGGCCUAUGCCCGAAUACAUUAGCAUGGAAUAAUAAAAUAGGACGUGCGGUUCUAUUUUGUUGGUUUCUAGAGCCGCCGUAAUGAUUAAUAGGGACAGUCGGGGGCAUCAGUAUUCAAUUGUCAGAGGUGAAAUUCUUGGAUCUAUUGAAGACUAACUACUG
This 346-nucleotide ribosomal RNA is filed under the name uncultured eukaryote. RNAcentral describes it as "SSU rRNA". It matches the Rfam family "Eukaryotic small subunit ribosomal RNA", at positions 594 to 945 of the family's 1831-position model. The record is from RNAcentral.